GAUGAACGCUGACAGAAUGCUUAACACAUGCAAGUCUUUGGCGAAGCUGUGCUUGCACAGCCUAGCCAAGGCGGACGGGUGAGUAACGCGUAAGGAACUUGCCCUGCAGUCAGGGAUAACAGACGGAAACGACUGAUAAGACCUGGUAAAGUCAGGUGGACUCAUGUCCAGCCUGAUGAAAAGAGAUGCUGCAGGAGAGCCUUGCGUCCUAUUAGCUUGUUGGUGGGGUAACGGCCCACCAAGGCGAUGAUAGGUAGCCGGCCUGAGAGGGUGGACGGCCACAAGGGGACUGAGAUACGGCCCUUACUCCUACGGGAGGCAGCAGUGGGGAAUAUUGGACAAUGGGGGCAACCCUGAUCCAGCAAUUCUGUGUGCACGAUGAAGGUUUUCGGAUUGUAAAGUGCUUUCAGCAGGGAAGAAAAAAAUGACGGUACCUGCAGAAGAAGCGACGGCUAAAUACGUGCCAGCAGCCGCGGUAAUACGUAUGUCGCAAGCGUUAUCCGGAAUUAUUGGGCAUAAAGGGCAUCUAGGCGGCCAGAUAAGUCUGGGGUGAAAACUUGCGGCUCAACCGCAAGCCUGCCCUGGAAACUAUGUGGCUAGAGUACUGGAGAGGUGGACGGAACUGCACGAGUAGAGGUGAAAUUCGUAGAUAUGUGCAGGAAUGCCGAUGAUGAAGAUAGUUCACUGGACGGUAACUGACGCUGAAGUGCGAAAGCUAGGGGAGCAAACAGG
This 732-nucleotide ribosomal RNA is filed under the name uncultured Leptotrichia sp. Its description in RNAcentral is "bacterial SSU rRNA". It matches the Rfam family "Bacterial small subunit ribosomal RNA", at positions 28 to 776 of the family's 1533-position model. The record is from RNAcentral. Lineage: Bacteria; Fusobacteriati; Fusobacteriota; Fusobacteriia; Fusobacteriales; Leptotrichiaceae.